UUAAAUGUAUGAAUAGAGAAGCAUAUGAAAACUAUAAGAUGACUAAGAAGGAAUUUAAGAAUAUGGAACAAGUGGCUAGAUUCGCAGCAUAUGAACAGUUAUAUCAUUAAUUAGAAACUAAGAAAGGGGAGAAAGAUAUCUAUAAUAUCACAACAUCAAGAGGAAGGAAAUUAGAGGCAUGACUCAGGUUAAAUGGACCAAAGAUGAAAAUCAAAAAAGUUUGAU
This 225-nucleotide long non-coding RNA is filed under the name Elaeis guineensis (African oil palm). RNAcentral describes it as "long non-coding RNA (EGUI_LNC046518)". The record is from RNAcentral. Lineage: Eukaryota; Viridiplantae; Streptophyta; Magnoliopsida; Arecales; Arecaceae.